UUCUAGGCAGGAUCAGUUCUUCCCUAUGUAUUAUUUCUAUCUCUGCAUAUUAUCCUUUAUCUCCUCAAACGACUAAGUAAUAUUGCAUAUUUUCUUAAAAACAUGUCACCACAUAAUCAGAUCUUGUGAUCUUCUGGUACUUUGACUUCCUCCCUGACCCUGAUCUAAAAGAAUCAUAAUGGCAUCACAUUGUGGAAGUUUGCUUGCUUAUAAUGGAUGUUCUUAGAAUAACUAAGUAAAACACCAUGGCCAUAAUCUGCUACUCUGCUUUGUUAUUCGGUUCACUUGGCUUGUUGUCUUUUGCUGAGUUGGUUUCCAUUUCGUGAAUUCACUAUAUAUGUAGAUGUAGGUAGCCUCAGCAUGUGUUGGCUUCCUUUUGUACCGUGCUUUAUAAUCUAAUAGAAGUUAAAGGGGAGAAACUUUUUAGUCUUAUCCAUAUCAAAGCUUUUCUCCAAGUUGGAUGCUGUGGAGUGUUGGAGUAAAAGCAAGCAGGAAUGAUGGCGUCUUGUCGGUCCAUGCAUGCACUACGUUAUUAAUCAAUUAGAAGAAAAAUCUUAUCUUAAUUUUACACAGGAGCAGUUUCAACAAGUAGCUGACUACAAAAGUCCCUAGUGCAGACCACUUAUCUACGCCUUUUAUUUACCUUAUCAUACUUGUUGAAUUUCUUAUUUCUUGCGUGUACAACCAGCAACUUCUUUCUAGUCUUAUUUGUUAGUGUGAUUUAACUUUUUAAUUAAAUCCUAAUGCUAAUCAGCUUUAUAGGAAUCAAAAAAUGAAAUGAUAGAUCACUCACUCUUGCACUAAGUCAGUUCCAUUCUGGUCGCUCAUACUGAUGCAUCUACAGCAGUCCAAAAGGCUGCCUGACCAUUAUUGGCCAGCAAAAAGCUAACAGUAGUACAUUUCUGAGAUUUGCUUGUCGCUAUUUUUUUUACCUGUUUCAGAGCUUACCCGUAAGACAAGGUACGGGUGUGUACCAUGAUCUCUAUUGGAAGAACUGAACUGAAGAACAAACAGACUGGUAUUCCUGAUCUUUAGUGCAGGUAACAUGUGAUCUCUAUUGCCGAGUUUUAGGACUUGGAAAGUCUAAGUAGUAGGGGCUAAAUGAGAAUGUAAUAGACUUAGCCAUGAAGGUCUAAGAAAUGAUUCUGAUCUUUAUUUAGAAACAAGCUCAAGUUUUGAGAAAUAAUAAAAUGCGGUAUACCUUUGUAAGCCUCUAAGUGAGCCUCAAAUUAUUUAGUCUGCCUUUAUCCAAGCCUGAGAAAUUAUGAGUCUAAAUGUAACAUUCAACUUCUUAUCAUAUUGUAUUGAAUAGUAACCAUGAACAUCAGGAGAUAUCCACAGAUAUGAAUAAUAUAUCAUGCAUAUAGAGCAUCCUUAUAUUGCACACUAUUGCACAAACUGGUACAAACUAUUCUCACACUACAUAGAUACAUACAUCAUGAUAAUACUUUCAAUGUUACCGUAGAUUUAAAAAUACUGAAAUCCGUACUAAUGCAAACAUAGCUAGUAAUUAAGUGCAGGUACUGCAAAUCUGCUAGGCAGAUUUGCUGAGUGACCUGGCCUAUAUAUAGAUGUAUUCCUUCCUCCUUCAAUAGCGAGGGCCUUAUUUACCAUAACCAAAUGAUGGAGCCAACAUCCUGAUUUCUUCAUCUUCCAUCUUCCAGAAUAUCUCAGGGCAUUUGUAAUCCCACAUAGCAGGUGAUGGCAGAGGGCAGGGGAUACUACUGCAUGUCUUCUCUUUCCCUUCAGCAAUGCCCAGCAAGGCAGGUGCCUGCGGUGCCUCGAUUUCUCUCCAUAUCUGAUCCAUGGGAUAU
RNAcentral lists this long non-coding RNA (1814 nucleotides) under Setaria italica (foxtail millet). RNAcentral describes it as "long non-coding RNA (SITA_LNC006342)". Lineage: Eukaryota; Viridiplantae; Streptophyta; Magnoliopsida; Poales; Poaceae. The record is from RNAcentral.